Molecule: ribosomal RNA, 253 nt
Filed under: uncultured bacterium
Lineage: Bacteria
Description: partial 16S ribosomal RNA
Rfam family: Bacterial small subunit ribosomal RNA
Source: RNAcentral
GACAGAGGUUGCAAACGUUGUUCGGAAUUACUGGGCAUAAAGCGCGCGUAGGCGGUCCGUUAAGUCAUGUGUGAAAUCCCCCGGCUCAACCGGGGAAUUGCGCCUGAUACUGGCGGGCUAGAGAUCGAUAGGGGUGAGUGGAACUCCAGGUGGAGCGGUGAAAUGCGUAGAUAUCUGGAGGAACACCGGUGGCGAAAGCGGCUCACUGGAUCGAUACUGACGCUGAGGUGCGAAAGCGUGGGGAGCAAACAGG